GUGCUUUAGGGAUGAAUAAGUCCCUCAUACGAAUAUCCAUCUAAAUCACUUUGUCAGUUGCCUUUUUGGUGGCGCACUGAUCAUUGUAAGAUGGAAAAUGG
RNAcentral lists this small nucleolar RNA (101 nucleotides) under Theobroma cacao (cacao). Its description in RNAcentral is "Small nucleolar RNA snoR99". It matches the Rfam family "Small nucleolar RNA snoR99". Lineage: Eukaryota; Viridiplantae; Streptophyta; Magnoliopsida; Malvales; Malvaceae. The record is from Rfam by way of RNAcentral.